Molecule: long non-coding RNA, 926 nt
Organism: Chinchilla lanigera (long-tailed chinchilla)
Lineage: Eukaryota; Metazoa; Chordata; Mammalia; Rodentia; Chinchillidae
Exons: 2
Source: RefSeq, a predicted model, not a curated record
UUUGAAUUAAACUGAAAUGCUCUCUAAUCUACCACGUAUCGUAAUUUUUGCAAAUGUGCAAUUUUUUCUUUCUUGAUGCGAGGAAUGGAAUGCAGCGCCUUACAAAUGCCGAGCAUGCGCUGUACAGCUGAGCUACUCCCCCAGCUCCCAAAAUGUGCAAGUUUGGAAGACACCUUCCUUCUGCAUUAUAUAAAGACCACAGAUGAUGAGGAUGUCAUCUCUAAACCCAAAAGGAAGUAGAUCACGGAAUGAAAUAUUCUGCAAAUCAAGACAUUACUUACAAAACCACUCCAGAAUUUUCUCGAAGAAAGAAGAUAUUUUUUAUAUGAAGGAAAGUAAAUGCCUCUGAAAUGUGAGCUGCAUGGGACGGGCUCUCUUGGGUUCUCUGGGCUCUCUCCGUCUGGCUCUCAAGGGGCUCUCAGUGCCUGCAAGAGCCAGGCACAAGACAGCUGCUUCAGGAGUGCUUGUUGGGAAACGAGUGCCUUGGUUUCCUUUUCUUCACCUGUCACCAAUUUGCGGAAUACGAAAGCUUCUCCUCAGUUCUGGUUUAGCGAUGCCUACAUGGUGUUUCAGAAUCAGCAUGGUGAAGUGGAUCACAGGCAAACCCUGUUUUCUCAGAGUAGUCAGCUGUUUCUCAGGAAAGAUAUUUAAUUAGAGAACACGUUAAAAGAAGCCAUGCAUGUGUCCAAAAUGAUGACUGCAGGGGGAAACAACCUCCAGCCAUCAAGCGCACUAACGAGCUGAAAUUCGGCUCCCCAUCACUGGUCUUGGAGUUGUGCUCUGCAGACAUCUGUGGGGCUGGCUCAAGUAUGCUGAGGACAUCCUCAGGGAGGGGAGACAUUGAAUGGGCCUCCAGAUCCCUACCUCUCCCCUGCUCCUCCAACACGCCUGUCUCACUUAAAUAAAGGAUUUCAUGGAUGAGUAAG